CACUGUUUCGGCAAGGGGGUCAUCCCGACUUACCAACCCGAUGCAAACUGCGAAUACCGGAGAAUGUUAUCACGGGAGACACACGGCGGGUGCUAACGUCCGUCGUGAAGAGGGAAACAACCCAGACCGCCAGCUAAGGUCCCAAAGUCAUGGUUAAGUGGGAAACGAUGUGGGAAGGCCCAGACAGCCAGGAUGUUGGCUUAGAAGCAGCCAUCAUUUAAAGAAAGCGUAAUAGCUCACUGGUCGAGUCGGCCUGCGCGGAAGAUGUAACGGGGCUAAACCAUGCACCGAAGCUGCGGCAGCGACGCUUAUGCGUUGUUGGGUAGGGGAGCGUUCUGUAAGCCUGUGAAGGUGUGCUGUGAGGCAUGCUGGAGGUAUCAGAAGUGCGAAUGCUGACAUAAGUAACGAUAAAGCGGGUGAAAAGCCCGCUCGCCGGAAGACCAAGGGUUCCUGUCCAACGUUAAUCGGGGCAGGGUGAGUCGACCCCUAAGGCGAGGCCGAAAGGCGUAGUCGAUGGGAAACAGGUUAAUAUUCCUGUACUUGGUGUUACUGCGAAGGGGGGACGGAGAAGGCUAUGUUGGCCGGGCGACGGUUGUCCCGGUUUAAGCGUGUAGGCUGGUUUUCCAGGCAAAUCCGGAAAAUCAAGGCUGAGGCGUGAUGACGAGGCACUACGGUGCUGAAGCAACAAAUGCCCUGCUUCCAGGAAAAGCCUCUAAGCAUCAGGUAACAUCAAAUCGUACCCCAAACCGACACAGGUGGUCAGGUAGAGAAUACCAAGGCGCUUGAGAGAACUCGGGUGAAGGAACUAGGCAAAAUGGUGCCGUAACUUCGGGAGAAGGCACGCUGAUAUGUAGGUGAAGUCCCUCGCGGAUGGAGCUGAAAUCAGUCGAAGAUACCAGCUGGCUGCAACUGUUUAUUAAAAACACAGCACUGUGCAAACACGAAAGUGGACGUAUACGGUGUGACGCCUGCCCGGUGCCGGAAGGUUAAUUGAUGGGGUCAGCGCAAGCGAAGCUCUUGAUCGAAGCCCCGGUAAACGGCGGCCGUAACUAUAACGGUCCUAAGGUAGCGAAAUUCCUUGUCGGGUAAGUUCCGACCUGCACGAAUGGCGUAAUGAUGGCCAGGCUGUCUCCACCCGAGACUCAGUGAAAUUGAACUCGCUGUGAAGAUGCAGUGUACCCGCGGCAAGACGGAAAGACCCCGUGAACCUUUACUAUAGCUUGACACUGAACAUUGAGCCUUGAUG
Molecule: ribosomal RNA, 1246 nt
Filed under: Escherichia coli
Lineage: Bacteria; Pseudomonadati; Pseudomonadota; Gammaproteobacteria; Enterobacterales; Enterobacteriaceae
Description: partial 23S ribosomal RNA
Rfam family: Bacterial large subunit ribosomal RNA
Source: RNAcentral